UUUCGCGGCAAUUUGUGAUCAGCCAGUAUUUUUGUGACAAUCUGUGAGGUGAAGUUCUACUUUGUAUUGGAAACUCUUUAGUGUUUUGUUACGUAAAUAACGUUGUGUUUAGGAAUAAAUGUCUGACAGGUAACUUCGAAACCAGCAGCUGAAUUGACAAGACACUUAUUAUACCGGAAGGAUAGAAAACGUAUUUUUACUAUUUUUUUUUUUUAUUUGAUUAGCAACAUAAUAUAAACACACAUUUAAAUACAAUACACUUUAGAUAAACAAAAU
This 276-nucleotide unclassified non-coding RNA is filed under the name Melitaea cinxia (Glanville fritillary). RNAcentral's name for it is "misc RNA ENSMCXG00005012280.1". Lineage: Eukaryota; Metazoa; Arthropoda; Insecta; Lepidoptera; Nymphalidae. The record is from RNAcentral.